This 344-nucleotide unclassified non-coding RNA is filed under the name soil metagenome. Its description in RNAcentral is "partial contains 5.8S ribosomal RNA, internal transcribed spacer 2, and large subunit ribosomal RNA". The stretch from base 1 to 120 matches the Rfam family "5.8S ribosomal RNA", at positions 35 to 154 of the family's 154-position model. The record is from RNAcentral.
GAUGAAGAACGCAGCGAAAUGCGAUAAGUAAUGUGAAUUGCAGAAUUCAGUGAAUCAUCGAAUCUUUGAACGCACAUUGCGCCCGCCAGUAUUCUGGCGGGCAUGCCUGUUCGAGCGUCAUUUCCACCAUCAGGCCCCCGGGCCUGUGUUGGGGACCUGCGGCUGCCCGCAGGCCCCGAAAUUCAGUGGCGGUCGCGCCGUGGCAACCGAGCGUAGUAACUAAAACGUCUCGCUCUGGCUCGCUGGGCGCGCUCCGGCCGUAAAACACCCCCCCUUUUCGCAAAGGUUGACCUCGGAUCAGGUAGGAAUACCCGCUGAACUUAAGCAUAUCAAUAAGCGGAGGA